Molecule: ribosomal RNA, 433 nt
Filed under: uncultured bacterium
Lineage: Bacteria
Description: partial 16S ribosomal RNA
Rfam family: Bacterial small subunit ribosomal RNA
Source: RNAcentral
AACGAACGCUGGCGGCAUGCCUAACACAUGCAAGUCGAACGAGGCCUUCGGGUCUAGUGGCGCACGGGUGCGUAACGCGUGGGAACCUGCCCUUAGGUUCGGAAUAACUCCCCGAAAGGGGUGCUAAUACCGGAUAAUGUCUUCGGACCAAAGGUUUAUCGCCUUUGGAUGGGCCCGCGUUGGAUUAGCUAGUUGGUAGGGUAAAAGCCUACCAAGGCGACGAUCCAUAGCUGGUCUGAGAGGAUGAUCAGCCACACUGGGACUGAGACACGGCCCAGACUCCUACGGGAGGCAGCAGUGGGGAAUAUUGGACAAUGGGCGAAAGCCUGAUCCAGCAAUGCCGCGUGAGUGAUGAAGGCCUUAGGGUUGUAAAGCUCUUUUACCCGGGAUGAUAAUGACAGUACCGGGAGAAUAAGCUCCGGCUAACUCCGUG